ACAGUGGAUUUUUUCUCUCAUAGGCCUAGUUCACACACCACAUUAAACCAUAGUUAAAAUAAACUAUGGUUUAAUGUGGUGUGUGAACUAGGCCUAUGAGAGAAAAAAUCCACUG
RNAcentral lists this microRNA precursor (115 nucleotides) under Podarcis lilfordi (Lilford's wall lizard). The record is from RNAcentral. Lineage: Eukaryota; Metazoa; Chordata; Lepidosauria; Squamata; Lacertidae.